AUUGAACGCUGGCGGCAUGCCUUACACAUGCAAGUCGAACGGUAACAGGUCUUCGGAUGCUGACGAGUGGCGAACGGGUGAGUAAUACAUCGGAACGUGCCUAGUAGUGGGGGAUAACUACUCGAAAGAGUGGCUAAUCCCGCAUGAGAUCUACGGAUGAAAGCAGGGGGUCGCAAGACCUUGUGCUACUAACGCGGCCGAAGGCAGAUUAGGUAGUUGGUGGGAUAAAAGCUACCAAGCCGACGAUCUGUAGCUGGUCUGAGAGGACGAUCAGCCACACUGGGACUGAGAAACGGCCCAGACUCCUACGGGAGGCAGCAGUGGGGAAUUUUGGACAAUGGGCGCAAGCCUGAUCCAGCAAUGCCGCGUGCAGGAUGAAGGCCUUCGGGUUGUAAACUGCUUUUGUACGGAACGAAAAGCCCCGGGUUAAUACCCUGGGGUCAUGACGGUACCGUAAGAAUAAGCACCGGCUAACUACGUGCCAGCAGCCGCGGUAA
RNAcentral lists this ribosomal RNA (497 nucleotides) under uncultured bacterium. RNAcentral describes it as "partial 16S ribosomal RNA". It matches the Rfam family "Bacterial small subunit ribosomal RNA", at positions 30 to 523 of the family's 1533-position model. The record is from RNAcentral.